UUACCUUAAGAUUUGCACUCUCAGUUUUACACGCCUGAUGCAAAAAAGGAAAAGAAAAGAAAAUUUCAUCCUCUCUGUAUCUACACUACUCUGCUCUGGAUUCUGAUAGAUGGGACCAUGAGCUAAAGUAAUUUAAUUUCCCCAAGUAAAACCAAGUUUUUGAUACUGUUUUUGACUCUUAUAUGAUAUAUAGCACUGACACGUUCAAAUUUCAAUGGCUGUUAUUGACGCAGGAAGAACACUUAGACACGGAUUUGAUACUAGAUUCUAUAGACUGAAUUUCUCUCUUAUUCUGUAACUAGGUAUAGUAGCACCUUGAUGACACAAU
Molecule: long non-coding RNA, 328 nt
Filed under: Glycine max (soybean)
Lineage: Eukaryota; Viridiplantae; Streptophyta; Magnoliopsida; Fabales; Fabaceae
Description: long non-coding RNA (GMAX_LNC000898)
Source: RNAcentral